Molecule: long non-coding RNA, 1164 nt
Filed under: Junco hyemalis (dark-eyed junco)
Lineage: Eukaryota; Metazoa; Chordata; Aves; Passeriformes; Passerellidae
Description: lncRNA (ENSJHYG00000002943.1)
Source: RNAcentral
GGCCGUUCGAACGGCGGCUUGGGCGGGGCGAGCGGCACGGGCCCCGCCCCCGUUGCCGUGGUGACGGCGGCCAGGGCCCGCGCGGUCCCGCCGGGCCAGGCCCGGUGCCUACGAACUCCCGGGGGAGGCCGGGCCCGCCCCGGGCCGGCAGCUGCGGCCGUGCGAUGGAGCCCCGGUGCCUCCCGAGCUCCCGGGAGCCGGGCAAGGCCGAGCCUGCCCCGAGGCCGGCAGCUGCGGCCGUGCGAUGGAGCCCCGGCGCAGGAUGAAGGGUCCCGGGCCCGUGUGCCGCGGCCCGUGAUUUGAGCGUGUCCCCGCGGAGGAGCUGCGGGACAGAACAGGAGCCUUUGGCACAGCCCACGGCUCGGACCGUGCGUUACCGGCGUCAUUGCAAAUUAUCUUUGUGUAAAUCUGCACAGAACCGCGGAAAUGGGAAGAGAAUAAAGCACAGGCACCCAGGGAAAUUGCGGAGGCUGCACCAGCAAGUCUGGAAAGGCGGCAGGGAUACACGGCCAGGCACAGGAACCCUGGGAACAGCUGGGAACAGCUGGGGCUCCAGGAGGCCGGCGGUGUGGCUCGGCACCCCUGCUCGCCCAGGCAGCCUUGUGGACACAGCCCCGGAGCCCGGGGUGACCCAGGGACGCUGCUCACGGCCUGGGGCACGGGGAGCAGCGACCGUGCGUGGGGUUCAUCCCUCUGUGUCUGUACACCGAGCGCUACCAGCACGGUGCUUUUAUUGGAAAUAAAACUGGACAUAAAACUGGUGCGGUCCCCGUGAGAAAAGCCUCCUGUGUGUGACCGGGCGGCACCGGUGGGCGCCGCCCGGGUGUCCCGGUACCGACCCGGGCAUCAGGGGCGGGGGGGCCGUGCCCGCCUGAGCCCGUGACCCGCGCCCGCACCGCCUCCGGCCGGGCCGCUCCGCGCCGCCGGUGCCGCCGGUGCCGCCGCCCCGCCCGUUUCGCGCCGUCAUUUCCGCGGCCGCGGCGCUUCCGGGUCGCGCGCGGCCCCGCGCCCGUUCCGCCGGACCCGGACCCGGAAGCGGCUGCGCGGCCCCGCGGCGGCGGCGGCGGCGCCGGUAAGUGCGGGGCGGGGGGGCGGCCGGGGCCGGGCUGCCCGCGCUGUCAGCCCCCCGCGGGAUGCCGUGACCGGCGGCGGCGGCGGCUGCCA